ACUACUCUCACUCGGUGCAGCUUGUGCUUUCCCCACUACUGGUUUUGGAGCCUCACCGCUACCAAACAAGUAACCCAAUGAACUCUGCCCUCCACCGCUGCUAACUCCACGACCCAUAUCUCAUAUUCGUCUAUGAUCAAAAGUUACAAGCUUAAUCUGGGCAAUGCAGAUGGGAAGUGACAAUCAGAACCUGAUCAAAUACUAAAUUCUGUAUGUCUAUGUAGAAAUUCCAAGAGAAUACAAACCAAUAGAUAGCCCUGAUUUCAACUAUGUAGAGAAUCUUAUUUCCUCCAACUUUAAUUAUCCAAAC
Molecule: long non-coding RNA, 310 nt
Filed under: Salvia miltiorrhiza (redroot sage)
Lineage: Eukaryota; Viridiplantae; Streptophyta; Magnoliopsida; Lamiales; Lamiaceae
Description: long non-coding RNA (SMIL_LNC005075)
Source: RNAcentral